This is a long non-coding RNA of Pan troglodytes (chimpanzee), 636 nucleotides long. RefSeq lists it as uncharacterized. The transcript is spliced from 4 exons. The record is from RefSeq and is a predicted model, not a curated record. Lineage: Eukaryota; Metazoa; Chordata; Mammalia; Primates; Hominidae.
CUGAUUAUGGAGAUGUUGAAAUGUUAAAAAAAAAAAAAAAAAGUGUGUCUCAGAAUUGAUGAAAUGUGGUAUUUUCAUUUCUUUGAAUAACAGACAGCUUAUACUUCUUUAUUAUAAAGUUCGUGAGCCAUAGAGAAGACAUUUUAAAAAUAAUUAUGCCUGCGAAGCCUGCUCAAUUAAUGGUGAUUCUCUGGGACACCGUCCUCCACGCAGACACGGACAUUCGACCUGAGCAGAGGUAGGACAUCGAAAUGUACGCUGCAUUUCCUUUCUAUGGUUUUAAGAGCGCAGAGCUAGCCCUCCACGGUGGAAGGCAGUCCGUUCACUGGGAUGUAAUGGAUUUUUUAAAGUCCAGAUUGAAGGCAGUAUCCCUUCAUCGUGAUGGAAGGAAUUUAAAACUUUCUAGUUGGGAAGACAAAUGAAAAGCCUCGUAAUGAGGUUAAAGUCAAGGAUGCAAAAGAAACCUACCCCCACAACCACAUAAAUGGUAUGCUAAUGUGUGUGUGUUGCCUCAGACACCACAGUGACUAUCUUUGUAUGAAGUAUAAAGCAGACCAAUUCAGACAAAAAUGAAAAUGUACCAGAAAAAAAUAAUUUGGACCCUGUUGAAAAUGAAAUCUAUUUCAAAAGCUUCAA